GGCCGGGCUUGGAGAGCUCCAUCCCGGGAGAGGGGGGCCCGGACCUCGGCCCCUUCCGGGACGGAAGUCCGGAAGGGAGAGAGGGUGCGAGUUGGGACGGGCCGGGAGCGCUCCCGCCUGGGUGAGGGGGUCCCGACCGCCCCCCCUCCAGGUGGAAGUCCUCAAGGGAGCGACCCGCCGGAGUCCGCGGGACCCCGAGGGCUCCUGCCCGGCCAGGGGGGAGGGCGUCCGACCUCCCCCGGUACCCGACGGCGUCCUCGAAAUAUCGCAAAGU
Molecule: long non-coding RNA, 274 nt
Organism: Protopterus annectens (West African lungfish)
Lineage: Eukaryota; Metazoa; Chordata; Ceratodontiformes; Protopteridae
Exons: 2
Source: RefSeq, a predicted model, not a curated record